Long non-coding RNA from Varroa destructor (honeybee mite), 1019 nucleotides. The record is from RefSeq and is a predicted model, not a curated record. Lineage: Eukaryota; Metazoa; Arthropoda; Arachnida; Mesostigmata; Varroidae.
UGCCGCCCGUGCAGAAUGUUGCGUUUAGUUUUUGUCCAUAUCUGUUGACUAUGCUAAGAUGCGUUUUGCUGGUUAUUGUAUCAAAUGCAUAUCGUCCUCAGACGAAAAGCUGGAAAAAAUGGUCCAGGGGUGAUUCGAUAUGCUGAUUGUUUACGUUCUCUGUGUAGCGUUUCAACUUUAUAAUUGCAAUGUAGUCAAGCCCUCUUCUUAGGUUAAGACAAAUAAUGAGCCCGGACAUUGUCGAAUGGCGGUGAACGGCUUAAAAUGUUGAUUUCAACACAGUGUUGCAAUAGGGUCGGCUUCGGUCGCAAAAGCAGUCUACGGAGUACAUAGACGCUCGACAAAACUUACUACUGCAUCUGCGAGGCAGUGACCUUUUGAGGUCUAAUUUAAAAUCGACUAUUAUACCUAAAUCGAUCAGUUAGCAGCUUCGACGGAGAUGUUUGUAGCUGUGAGCUCGAUUUAAUUGAUUUUACAUGCUUCUUCAUGAAAUCGACUCCUCUUAAAAGCGAUUACAUGUGAGCUGUACAGACCAGGACCAGGGAGACGAAUGGAGACGAACAACCGGGACCUGUGCAGAAUCGAUCUCCUAGGUCUCUGAGGCAUAACACGGAUCACUCUACGGUUUCCAGCCUUCGACUUGGAAUACAUUUGCCCCCGAAAUGAAAUAGUUCCGCCUGUUGCUUCCACUAUCGCAUGGCGGUGUUAUGUGUAUGUACAUUUAAUAUGAUUGACGCGGGUGAUCAUAUCGAAAUAAGCUAGAAGCGCGUCUUGAACUCGGCAUCUGCCCAUGGUUGAUGCUAAUUUUGGGGCGACUCUCACCGACACAGACGCCGCACGAUUAGCUGUAUCAUGCCGUCUGAGCUUGGAUUGUGUUUGGCUAUGGGAUAGUCGCAUUUUGUUCGCACCCAGACUGGAACAGAACAUAGCAUAGUGGCAUUCCCCGUGUUGGCCGCGCUCUUGGCUUACUUGGCGUACCAUGCAUGAACUCCUCAUGCGACAAUUAGCACAUUUUUACA